GGCUCAGUGGUCUAGUGGUAGGAUUCACGCUUCGGGUAAAGCCAAUCCCAGAAAAUGGGAGAAGUUGUGUGAGGUCCCGGGUUCAAUCCCCGGCUGAGCCC
Non-coding RNA from Durotheca rogersii, 101 nucleotides. NCBI's taxonomy places the organism in Eukaryota, Fungi, Ascomycota, Sordariomycetes, Xylariales, Xylariaceae. The record is from the annotation of a RefSeq genome assembly.